Unclassified non-coding RNA from Pongo abelii (Sumatran orangutan), 117 nucleotides. It matches the Rfam family "Metazoan signal recognition particle RNA". From Rfam's summary of the family: The signal recognition particle (SRP) is a universally conserved ribonucleoprotein. It is involved in the co-translational targeting of proteins to membranes. The eukaryotic SRP consists of a 300-nucleotide 7S RNA and six proteins: SRPs 72, 68, 54, 19, 14, and 9. The record is from Ensembl. NCBI's taxonomy places the organism in Eukaryota, Metazoa, Chordata, Mammalia, Primates, Hominidae.
GCCGGGUGUGGUGGCUCACAACUGUAAUCCCAGCACUUUGGGAGGCCGAGGCAGGCAGAUCACCUGAGGUCAGGAGUUCGAGACUCGCCUGGCCAACAUGGUGAGACCCUGCCUCUA